RNAcentral lists this ribosomal RNA (263 nucleotides) under uncultured bacterium. RNAcentral's name for it is "partial 16S ribosomal RNA". It matches the Rfam family "Bacterial small subunit ribosomal RNA", at positions 524 to 786 of the family's 1533-position model. The record is from RNAcentral.
UACGUAGGGGGCGAGCGUUGUCCGGAAUGAUUGGGCGUAAAGGGCGUGUAGGCGGCUAUUUGUGUCCGAUGUGAAAGUCCAACUUUCAAGGUUGGAAUUGCAUUAGAAACUGGGUAGCUUGAGUGCAGGAGAGGUUAUCGGAAUUCCCGGUGUAGCGGUGAAAUGCGUAGAGAUCGGGAGGAACAUCAGUGGCGAAGGCGGGUAACUGGACUGUAACUGACGCUGAGACGCGAAAGUGUGGGGAGCAAACAGGAUUAGAUACC